UUUUCUGGUCUUCAGGUUGAACCUCAAUUUCUCUCUCUGAGUUUUUAUUGACCUUGCUUCGCCUGUUCCUGCCAGCAUGCCUGUCCCUUGCUGCCAUGUUAUCCCUACCAUUAUAAACUCUAACCCUCUGGACUCAUCAACUAAAAUAGACCUUCUUCCUUGACUUGCUACUGGCCAAGGUGUUUUAUCGCAGCUAUAGAAAAGUAAGGAAUAUACAGGCUAGGAUAUCUUACAUCCAUACUGUGGAAUAGUACUCAGCAAUGAAAAAGAGAGAACAAGCGGGAGCCAACAACGUCGGUGGGGUUGAGGCGCAUCUCUGAAGAUUGCAUAUUGUGUGAGACAACCGGAUGCAGAAAUGGGAGGAGCCAGUGAGAUGUCAAAAGCAGAGCACGAGGGAGGUCUCUGUGGUUAUGGACCACUUCUGAAGCCCGAUUGCAGUGGUGGCUGCACUGGUCUACGCAGAGCAGAGCCCUGCCUGGUCAGCACAGUGGUUUCGGGACCCAUCCUUCCCAGUGUACUGUAAUUAUACCAGAUGGAGCCACUGGGGAAACCACAGUUGGGUCCUACCCGGCUCUGAACCACCUGUGCAGUUUUCGGUGAAUUCUGUAAUUAUUUCAGAGCAAAAAGGACUGAAAAAGAGGAGUGUAAUCAGAGAGCUGGGAUUACAGACCGCCUCCACCGACUCCAAACCCUACUGCUCAAAGCAGAUCAAAGCACCCUUAACUCUGUCAAGUCGCGGCCUCUGCUUCAUCCCGACACACAGCUAACUCUUCGUUGCCUGUGAAACCAUCCGUUCUCUCCCAGGACACUUCUCACUUUAGGACCGCUAGUCUCCUCUUACCAGAACGGACAUCAUACUCAACCCAAUUACAAUUAUUAGGUUAUUUGUUUGCAGCUCCCUGCAGAGCACAAAUUUGAGGAAAUAUUUACAAAACCUAGCUAAUAAAGCCUCGAUGGGAGAAUAUAUAAGCCAAUCUUCCAAUCAAACUGUAAAAAGAGACUCAAUGUGAUUUUUAAUACAAACGCUUGUUUCAAGAUUUAUUUUAUUUAUUAUGUAUACUGUGUUCUCUCGGCUUGUACGCUUGCAUGCCAGAAGAGGGCAUCAGAUCUCAUUACAGACAGCUGUGAGCCACCAUGAGGUUGCUGAGAAUUGAACUCAGGACCUCUGGAAGGGAAGUCAAUGCUCCUAAACUCUGAACCAUCGCUCCAGUCCCACGUAAAUAAUCUUUUUAAUAAAGGCCCAGAGACUUAAGCUGAAACUUCAUAUAAGGAAAUAUGUAGCUAGUAGACGCAUACAUGAAAAGCGGCUGAACAUUAACCUGGAGGGAAAUACAGACCGGACUGCAGGAAAGACGCCCCAGAGAAAGUGGCUGCAGCUAAAGUCACCUGGCAGACAGACACCGGCAAGGCAGUGGAGCAGCUGCAGAGCUAUUCUAGAAGAUGGGGUGCAGCUUCCUAAACAGCAAAUGCACACCAAAUGCUCGACACAGACGUUCUCUACCAUGGGUUUUCACAAGAGAAAUCUAUGUCUGUGACUAUAUAAAGAUCCCACACACACACAAAUUCCUGGUGAAUAGUUCAAUUUAAUACUUGCAAGCUGAAAGCCAUCCAAAUAUUUGCCUAAAGGUCAGUGGUUAAACUGUGGGACACCCACAUCCUUUCAGCAAUAAAGGAAGAAAUGAUUGAUUCGCACACCAGAGACCAACAUUGUAACAGUGCUGACGGAUCGAAGGGUAGGAAUUCUUCAAGCUAUCUGAUACAGGAGGAAGCUGGGUCAGAGAGCCUCCAGAACCUGGGGAGACUGCAGCUGUCAUCAGAUGCCCCUAGCAGCAAAGUCGGCUGCAGACUGAGACAGGAAGAUGGCCUGCAGGCCUCCAGAACAGCCUUCUGUUUGAUCAGAAUGUUUGAAGACCCUGGUCAGUCAAGAGACCAGAUCCCUGUUCCACUUGAGCAGUGGACAAGGCCCUUCCCCUUUCUGGGCCUCUACUUCUUCCAAGGGAGGAGGUGAAGGAACUCAUUUAACCCUAUUUUAUGUUCUCUGGGUGCCCUGCAGGACCUCGCUUUUCCUCCUGCCCAAGUUGCAGGGGUGCCACAGUCAUAGGGAGUCUUGAUUCUCUUGCGAAACUGGCCCCCUGGCUCUACCAUCCCAAGCUUGGAGCAGAGUACCCUUCUCCAUCUGACAGCGACUCUCUAGACGGCCGCCGGCCACUCUGCCUCCUCCCUCAGUUGUCCCACUGUCCCCGUAUCCUAGUCAAGGUUUCUAUUGCUGUGGUGAAACACCACAGCCGAAAGCACCUUGAGGAGGAAAAAGGGUUGAUUUCACUUGCACUUUUCAUAGUUCAUCAGAGGAACCGGGGCAGAUCUCAAAGCAGGAAGUGGAGCUGAUGCGGAGGCCAUGGAGGAGAGCUGCUGACGGGCUUGUGCCCCAUUACCUGUUCAGCCUGCUUUCUUCUAGAACCCAAGCCCAACGGCCCAGAGAUGGCACCACCUUCAGUGAGCCAGGCCCUCCCAGAUCAAUCAUCUAUCAAGAAAAUGCACGCCAGGCUUGCCCAUAAGCCAAUCCAGCAGGGGUAAUCCUCUCACUAAGCGACUCUAACUUGUGUCGUUUGUGGAGGCCCAAAGAGAUCAAAGGGACUUGUUUUUAGUUCAAGAUUAUUGUGCUUCUAACUCAAAGGUCCCAUCUAGUGGUAAAUCAGAGUUCCGCUCUCUCAAGGCUAUCGUAAACAGAUGUGGCUAGAAGCCAGACCUGAAACAGGGAAGUAGUUGGCUCCCACCUAAAACAAGAGUCUAAGGAUCCAGCUAAAUUCUAGUUCCCUUUAUGGAAAUAACUCGCGAUGCCACCCAGGGAGUGAUUUGCCUACAGAGUGGUCUAGGGCAUGAGUCAAGGGCAUGAGAGAGGAACGUGCCCCGUGACUUUCAAUUUGUAUGUUAAUGCAGUUCUUUUGUUCUACUCCUACCUUUUGAAAUCAAGGGUAUAUUAAGAUGUUGGAAAUUAAACAUGCACACAUUUUCAGUACGCACUGAAAUU
Myodes glareolus (Bank vole) is the source of this 3028-nucleotide long non-coding RNA. RefSeq lists it as uncharacterized. The record is from RefSeq and is a predicted model, not a curated record. NCBI's taxonomy places the organism in Eukaryota, Metazoa, Chordata, Mammalia, Rodentia, Cricetidae.